RNAcentral lists this unclassified non-coding RNA (254 nucleotides) under Hevea brasiliensis (rubber tree). The record is from RNAcentral. Lineage: Eukaryota; Viridiplantae; Streptophyta; Magnoliopsida; Malpighiales; Euphorbiaceae.
CACAACUUCAUCUGAUGCUCUCAAGAAAUCUUCAUGAAAAACUAUUGCUGGCCGGAAGGAAGAUUGUGGAGCAUGGUUCUGGUCAAAGACACUGGAAGAUGCAAGAAAUCUCCAAGGCUGCUGCUGUGGCACGCUCUACCCUUCACAAGAAAGUGCGGCACCUUCGUGCAUACUUAGCAAACCCUUCUGAGCCCCCUACAGCCAAUAAAAGAAAACUUUUGACAAGUGACCAAUGUCCUACAGUUGAUAAUAGC